AUUGUGAAAUCUUUAUCUACCCCAUUGGGUCUUGAAUGAGUUUUAGAGGUUUAAGUAUUACAUUUAGGUCUUUGAUCCAUUUUAAGUUUAGUUUUGUAUAUGGUGUGAGGUAGGGGUCCAAAAUUAUUCUUUGGCAUGUGUUUAGCUUUUCCAGCACCAUUUGUUGAAAAGAUCAUUCUUUCCCCAUUGAAUUGUCUUGUCAAUUAUUUUAUUUUUUUUGUCUUUUUGCCUUUUCUAGGGCCGCUCCUGCAGCAUAUGGAUGUUCUCAGGCUAGGGGUCUAAUUGGAGCUGUAGCUGCCAGCCUAUGCCAGAGCCACAGCAUCGCCAGAUCUGAGCCGAGUCUGUGACCUACACCACAGCUCACGGCAAUGCCGAAUCGUUAACCCACUGAACAAGGCCAGGGAUUGAACCUGCAAUCUCAUGGGUCCUAGUCAGAUGCGUUAACCACUGAGCCAUGACAGGAACUCUGUCUUAGCAAUUAUUAACAACAGCUUAUUAUUAUUGACAGCUUCUCAAAAGCACUGAAGAUUGACAACAUGGUAAGGAAUUACCAUGUCAAAAAAUGAAGAGAAAGGUAAAGAGCAUGGAAGCUCACUAUUAUUAACAAACAAUAUAAAAAUUAAGGUAAAAUCAUUGCUACAGAUGAAAAGGGAAUCUUCAUACACAUAAACUGUUCAAUUCACCCAGAGAUAUAAAAGUGUAAACUGUUUAUGUUCCUAAUAACAUAGUCUCAAAUUAUAAAGGCAAACAUUGAGAGUACUAUAAGGAGAUUAAACAAAUCCAUAAUCACAGUGGUAGAUUUCAACAUACUUCUCUCAAUAGUUGACAGUACAGGCAGGAAAAAAAAAUCCCCUCUCUCUCCCUCUCCCUCUAUCUGUGUAUAUACAUGUAUAAGUACAUAUAAAAUUUGAACAAUACAGUGAAUAAAUGUUUUUAAUAAAGUUUUAAAUUUAAAUUAAUUUUGGAAUAACUUUAAAUAUAUAGAAAAGUUGCAAAGACAGUACAGAGAAGCUCUUCACCAAGCCUCUCAUGUGAACAUCUUAAGUAACCACAGUAUAAUUGUAAAAAUUGAGAAAUUAACUUUAGUAGAUUUACUGUUAAUUCAUGUGCAGACUUUAUUCAGAUUAGCAAUUUUUCCACUAAUGUCCAUUUUCUUUUCCAGUAUCCAUCCCAGGACACCACAUUGGAUUUAGUUGUCAUGUCUCUUCUAGUAUGUCACAGUUUGUCAGUCUUUGUCUUUGCUAACCUUGGCUAAUUUUGCAUGGUUAGGUAUUUUGUAGAAUGUCCCUCCAUUUGGGUUUGUUUCAUAUGAUAUUUUCUCAUGAUUGAAAGUUCAUGGUUUCUCUGGGGUUAUGGGUUUUUGGAAAGAACACCAUAGAAGUGAAGCAUGCAUUUCUUUGUAUCACAUAUAGGGGUAUGUGAUUUCCUUUUUUUAAAAAACAGUUGCACCUGUAGCAUAUGGAAGUUCUUGGGCUAAGGGUCGAAACAGCUGCAGCUGCUGGCCUGCACCACAGCCGCAGCAAUGCCAGAUCUGAGCCACAUCUGCGACCUAUGUGGCAGUUUGUGGCAAUGCCGGAUCCUUAACCCACUGAGUGAGGCCAGGGAUUAAACCUGCAUCCUCACAGACACAAUGUUGGGUUCUUAACCCACUGAGCCACAAUGGGAACUCUGGUAUGUGAUUUCAGAAUGACUUAUCGUUGGUGAUGUUAACUCUGAUCACUUGGUUAGGGUGCUGUCUGCCAGGUUUUUCCACUGUGAAGUUACUAUUUUCCUUUUCCAUAGUCUAUUCUUUGGAAUGGAGCCAUUAAAUCCUGCCCAGACUCAAGGAAUGGGGUGUUAUGUUCCCCCCUCCUUUAGGGUAGACUAUCUACAUAAUUUCUUUCAGAUUCUUUUGUAUGGGAGAUUUUUCCCUCCCCCCUCAUUUAUAUGCUUACUCAAUCAUUUAUUUAUAUCUGUGGGGACUCAUCAAUAUUUAUUCUCUGAGUUAUAAUCCAAUAUUAUUAUUUUGUUGCUCAAAUUUGAGCUAAUGAAAAGAGACUGAUUACUGUGUCAAAACUGCAGAAUAUAAUUUUUUUCAAAUACAUAUGGAACAUUUAUCAAAUAUGAUCAUGAACUGGGCUAUAAUGAUACUCCUAACAUUUCAAAUAAUUAAAAUCACAGAGAAUGUAUUUUCCAACUUUGGUACAAUUAAAUUAGAUAUGAAUUAAUAAACUAUAUCUAUAAAAUCCUCAUAUUUGGGAAAUUAAGAAAUAGAUUUUGAAAUAACUCUUGGAUCAAAUAAGACAUUGGAGGAGUUCCUGUCCUGGCACAGUGGUUAACGAAUCCGACUAGGAACCAUGAGGUUGCAGGUUCGAUCCCUGGCCUCGCUCAGUAGAUUUUUUUAAAAUCAUGUAAAUUAAAAAAUGCAAGUGUGAAAAAAGUUAAUACUAUUUACCACAGAGGUAAUACUAUAUAUUAUUUGUGAAUACAAACAUAUUUAUAAAAGCAUACCCAGGAAGAUAUACACCAACUUUGGGUUACUUUUGGAGAGAGAAGGAGGAAGGGAGAGAGAAAGAAAACGUGAUGGAGGAGAACUUUAGUUGUAUCACUAACAUAAAAUUUCUUUAAAGAAAAAGAUCAAAAGCAAGUAUGCCAUCUUCACCAAAGUGUUAAAUCCACCACUUCCUAGCUGUGUGAUUUUGGUCAAAUUAUUUGAUCUUUAUGAGCCCCGAUUUCCUAUCUGUAAAAAGGGAUAUUAAUUGUGCCUGUAAUUCAUAAAGUUGUUCUGAGGAUUAAAUGAGGUAAUAUAUACAUUUUUUUUGCAUAGUCACCAUGUGAGACUCCCUAAAUCAUAGCUGUUAUUAUUACCAGCAAGAAAGUGUCAAAAACAUUCAUUCAGCUGUGAGUCAGUAAGUGCAUGUGGGGAAAAGUGCAUUCUAGAGAGAGGUGAUGGGUGACACGUGAGGGUACAGCGCUGAGUGUGCCCUUGGGCAGAGAGAGCAGGGCUGGAACGCUGCCCUCUGCUGUGUGUGCCCCCCCCCUGAAAUGUUUGUAUAAGUUUGUGUCUUUUAGGGUGGUGGGUAAUGAGUACCUUUACCUGGUACAAAAUUUUAAUCCCAAAUUUCCAGAGAACGGGGUGGGACCUCCAGAGUGGUUUGCUGUCUUCCUGGCCACUGACUUGUAAAGAACAGGACAGUAGUGGAGAAUGGAACUCAGACCCUGAAAGAGUUGGUGAAGAAGUCACCACCCUCCCUUCUCAGCCUUGAGGCAAGUCUGGAAGGAUAACUGAUUUCUUCUACCAAUGGCUUUACGUCCUUCUCAGGUUAGGAAAAUUUGUAUAAAGUCCUAUCUGUGCUGCCUGUUGCCCAUUCCUUUCUGAUAGCAAAAUGAAGUCCACUGAGCAAGGCUCAAAAAGGUUAUAGAAAAAUCACAGAGAUACCUUAAGUGGCAUUUUAAAAAGAGACUUUGUGGUGGCAUGGGGUUGGGCUUGUUGGUACUACCCUCACCAGAGAAAGAUAGAAGUUGGCUUUACCUCUUCCUGUUUAUUCAAUAAUCAGCUAUAGCCUACGGACCUUUAGGUAUCCAGUGCCCACAAGAGCCUCCUCCUUGCCAUCAGAACAGUAGUCAUUUUACACUCUAGUAUAAAUGAAUUUAUAUUAAUAAUGUAAAUGUAUUUUGGAGGUGGCACUAUUGGUAAGCUAUUUCUAAGGACUGCUAGGGCAAAAAGGGCCUGUCAAUUUCCUUCAAUUCCUCCAAUUUUCUCCCAAAUCACAAAAAGUCCAAUGUUUUUUCCUAAAGGCUAUGUCCCCAGUCUUUCUGUACCAGUCAGUCUAUGCUCAUCCUGAGAUAACUAGCUGCUCAUAGAUCUGCCGCUUAGUUGGUUCCUCCCCUUCUGCUUUAGCCCCUCAUCUUCUGCUCUAACCUCAAGACUCUCAGAUCCUUGGAGACUGAAGGGCUGUUCCUCUUUGUUUCACACCACUGCACUUGGCAGAUGACUCAUCUGUCCUUGCCCUCCCCUCCAAGUGUGGUGAUCCAAGCAUGACUUGCCAGUCAGUUAGUGGUUUGGGGCUUGAUGUCCUAGAGUUCCUGCUUCCUUGAAUUCUCCAGGUCACCUUGGAAUGCGAGCAGAUAUAAGAAAUAUAUGUGUACAUGAGUGUGUUUGUUGUGGGAAUCGGGGUGGGAAGACUUAAACUGUGAAUGACUUGAGCGAAAAUGUUCAAUAGUGAUGUUACUUAAAUAUAUGUGAGACCUAACAUGGACAAAGGAAAUACAGAAAUCCAGUUUGUCUGCAUAAAAUGAAUUUAUGAAAUCUGCUUACUCUUUGUGGCUAAUUUUACCAUGUGGACAAUAAUAACUAUGCAAGUUGUCGAUAUAGGUCAGAUGAAAUUGAUUGUAAGCUGUAUAUUUACUGACAGUGUGACAUUGUGUUCAGCUAUGCUUACACUUGUCUUGAUUAUCUACUAUGGUUUCCUGCCCAUGUAUUCUGCUCACGUGGGGAAAAGAAUUCAGGGAACGUGCCUCUAGCAUUUCUUAGAUUAACUGCCCAGGUGCCUCCUCUCUUUUCUUUUGGCAUCUUCUGGGCAGCUACAUCUCAGAGGUCACUGUGGGUACAAAGUACAAGAAAAGAAAGCAUAUAUAAUAAAAGGUGUAAAUUUUCCUAAAGCUGUAUAAAACUGUUCCUCAGUACUCAGCAUAUAUAACUUAUAUUUACUGUAUAUGCUUUUUCUCUAUUCUAUUUACCACCUUUGAUUCCUGGGAGAUUAAAUCUGCACAAGCGUAGAUACAUACUAAUAUGAUGAACUUUAAAAUGUUAUUUUCCUUCCUUUAUCAUCAAUGAUUAUCAUUUAAAGUUGUUAUGAAGGCUUUGUGACAGAGGUUAUACUAAAAUUGAAAGUAUAUGAACUUACUGAAAAUCAUGUAAAAAUUAGCUUAUGUUUUUAAUGUGGUUUCUCAGAUUGAUUAAUUUAUGCAAUUGAAUUGUUCUACUCUCUUGUAAACAUAUAUUCACACUUUGCAAACUUGCACACCUGCAAAGUGAGGUGGUAUGUGUGAUGUUAUCAUUGUUUCAUCAAGAAUGAUAACUCAGUCAGGUUACUUUUAAAAUCUCACUUUAUAGGCCAUUAUAUAUCAUCUUCCUGUUUCAAUACAGUGGAAAUUGAUUCCAUAAAGGUCUUAAAGGUCAAAUGUAUCUUAAAUUUAAUAAUAAUUUUAAAACACCUUGGCAUUUAUGAAGUGUUGUUGCAUUAAUUUAGAAAUAGUUUGAAGUUGUUAUAAAGUUUAACAUUGUAUGAAAGCACUUCCUCACAAGAUAGAUGUAUCAGUUUGGCUAUGGUAAAUUUUUUCUUUAGGGAUGUGUAUGUCUUUAACAAAAUUACUUUUUCAAAAAUUGAAACCAUGACAAGGACAUCCCUUUAGUAACCAGGAUUAUAGGAAUUAUGAAAUAGUCUGUUUCUCCCUCUUUCUUGCCU
Molecule: long non-coding RNA, 5447 nt
Filed under: Sus scrofa (pig)
Lineage: Eukaryota; Metazoa; Chordata; Mammalia; Artiodactyla; Suidae
Description: lncRNA (ENSSSCG00015075005.1)
Source: RNAcentral